This is a long non-coding RNA of Metopolophium dirhodum (rose-grain aphid), 1439 nucleotides long. RefSeq lists it as uncharacterized. The transcript has 7 exons. The record is from RefSeq and is a predicted model, not a curated record. Lineage: Eukaryota; Metazoa; Arthropoda; Insecta; Hemiptera; Aphididae.
AAAAGGUAAAUUACAUUCAAAGUGUUUUAACACCAUUUGAACGAUGAAGCAAAGUGGAUUAUUAUCAAAAAUUCUCAAAGAAAUAUCUUCAAAACUUACAUGUCACAAUAUGGAUAAAAACUAGAUUUACUUGACCACAGGUAUUAAAAUUAUAUCAGAAAGCAUAAGGAUAUUAGCAGAUAAAGGUUAUUCAUACAUUCAUAUUUCGCUGUUAGACACGUUGCUCCAAAGUUAUGGGCAUAAUUUCCAACACCUGUAGGAUUUGUUGUCCAUCAACUACAGUUGUAUUGAGUAGCAUGUGAAUGACUCUUAUGAAACUUCCUCAACAGCUCUAAGGAUCGUUGAACACGUUAUAAAAACAAAUGUGCAAGAAACUACAACAAAAAAAGUGUAUGUCAAAAGGUCAAAAUUAAUUUUACAACAAAUGGUGGUUAUGCAAUUUUACCUAUUGAGGAAACUAUAGGACAAAAACUGAUUACGGCUAAAUUAUUAUUAUAUUUAGCUCUUGAGUUAAAAAAUAAUAUUGAUGUUGUAAUGAUCCAUCAAAUACUUCAAAUACUUGAUGAGACAAUUAAACUCAAACCACAAGAUUAUGAAGAUCCAAAAUUACAAAAUAAUAGGAUUGGCAAUUUAGUCCGGGGUUAAGUGCGUUAGUAUGAAUAGUUUUAUAGUAUAAUAUAGAGAGAAGCGUGACAAAAUAAUGACUAAUAAUAACAUAAAUAUGUCGUUUUACGGUGCAGAGUUGUUGAAUAAAAUGAUUUCUAAUUUUAAUCUUUGUAUAAAACAAAUUGACUAUUAUCGGAAUUAUAUCCAACCAUUUGAUGUCAACCUGAUAGUGUGUACAAACAACAUUAUCAGACAUACAAUAAGUAUAAUAUUGGAAAAAAAUUAAUUGGCAAUUCGAGUAGACUUGAUGUCAAACAUUAAUAAAGAAAAAGUGAUAUAUGGCUGCUUGGAAAACAAAUAUAGUGGUAUGGAUAUAAUGAAUCAAAAUUAAAUAACAGAAAAAAUUAUAUCAACAGAAAUUAAAAUAGAUGAAACAGUGUGCUAACUAAAAAAAUAUUUACGAUGGAUGAGGCGAUACAACUAUAUUAGGCAUUCAAUUUCAAACAAAUACUCCAUACCUCCAGGACAAAAUUUUAGACACACUACAAAAUUACAAAAUUUUCCUGGAUAAUUUAAAAAAUCUUUUUGUCAACAAUACACUCGAAGCUUUGGCAAAUAUUAGUACAAACUUCCAGCCAACCUCAAAGACUGAAGUUAAAAGUUUUUACAGCAGUGCAGCAACUCAGUUACUCCUUACAAAAGUGAUGUACAGACAUGGAAUAGUCUUGUGAUGAAGUUUUCUUGUCAAGAAGCAUGCAGUUUGCAUCUGAAUGUGGCAACAGAAAAUGUCAAUAUAUGAAAAUUAAUUCAAAUUUAUAAAAUUCAAUAUUUAA